AGGGAAUCUGCUUCUAGUACGAGAGGACCGAAGUGGACGAACCUCUGGUGUACCAGUUGUUCCAUCAGGAGCACGGCUGGGUAGCUAUGUUCGGUCCGGAUAAGCGCUGAAAGCAUAUAAGCGCGAAACCGAUCCCAAGAUUAGAUAUCUCUAACAUAAGUUAAUAAGGCUCGUUGUAGACUACGACGUUGAUAGGCUGCAGGUGUAAGUGUAGUAAUACAUUCAGCUGAGCAGUACUAAUAAGCCGAACGGCUUUACCAA
This 261-nucleotide ribosomal RNA is filed under the name Fidelibacterota bacterium. RNAcentral's name for it is "partial 23S ribosomal RNA". It matches the Rfam family "Bacterial large subunit ribosomal RNA", at positions 2665 to 2925 of the family's 2925-position model. The record is from RNAcentral. Lineage: Bacteria; Pseudomonadati; Fidelibacterota.